Musca domestica (house fly) is the source of this 90-nucleotide non-coding RNA. NCBI's taxonomy places the organism in Eukaryota, Metazoa, Arthropoda, Insecta, Diptera, Muscidae. The record is from Rfam.
ACACGUUGAAAUCGGGUUUCGCAAACAGCGGUCUGUAUUUAAUGCUAUUUGACAUUAGUUCGUUGUCGACGAAACCUGCAUAUAACGUGA